RNAcentral lists this small RNA (839 nucleotides) under Malus domestica (apple). RNAcentral describes it as "sRNA MD14G0117700". The record is from RNAcentral. Lineage: Eukaryota; Viridiplantae; Streptophyta; Magnoliopsida; Rosales; Rosaceae.
GUUCAUUUGUUUCCAUCCAUCGAAGUCUCGAAACGCAGCCCUCAUCUCUCAUCUAAUCUCUCAUCGAACUCGAAGUCACUCUCACGGUCUCACCUCACCCCAAAUUAGGAUUACCAGAUUGCUGCGGCUACCAGGAUUACCAGGUUUAUGCGCUGCGUGUUUUUUGCAAGUCUCAUCCUCUCCCAAAUGAAAUUGUGGCUCCCCAGAGACAGAGCAUUGUGGAUGGAAUGAGGAUGAUAGCACUCAAACUUGAAUUUGGUGUAUCUCACAAUCAGAUAUUUGAGAGGACCCUAGCAGUGCAUUUUACAGAUCCUUUCCAUGUGAGCAAACGGGUUGCAGAUAAAUGCAAUGAUGGUACUUUGCUUCUCCAGAUGGGAAACUCACUGAUGGGGGUCUCAAGUUUUUAAAGAAAGUUCGUAGCGGAGGUGUUGAUCCAAGUAUUCGAGCUGAAGUGUGGCCGUUUCUUCUUGGAGUGAUGGACGGGUCUAGUAGCCAAUCUAGUGCACAUAUGGUCUCGGUAUUAGGGGCCGAAGAGGCCAACAAUCUUCAUAAAUUUUAGGCUUUGUUUUUUUGCUUUUGGUUUGUAACUUAAUUAUUGAAACUUUGGCUUGGAACUAAUUUUUUUGCUUUUGAGUUUGUUACUUUAUUUAUUUUAAAACCUUGACUUGUAACUAAUAUUUUUGCUUUUCGAUUUGACAUGUUGUACUUCACUAUGGGCUGUUGAAUAUAUUUGGCAAAUUGCUUUAAAAUAGAUUUGUACACAGAUUUGACAUGUGUAGUAGAAAUAAAAUUGUUUUUUGUUGAAUUAGGUUAAGCCCAUAUGGGCUGUUGAAUUGAGU